GACGAACGCUGGCGGCGUGCCUAAUACAUGCAAGUUGAGCGCUGAAGGUUGGUACUUGUACCAACUGGAUGAGCAGCGAACGGGUGAGUAACGCGUGGGGAAUCUGCCUUUGAGCGGGGGACAACAUUUGGAAACGAAUGCUAAUACCGCAUAAAAACUUUAAACACAAGUUUUAAGUUUGAAAGAUGCAAUUGCAUCGCUCAAAGAUGAUCCCGCGUUGUAUUAGCUAGUUGGUGAGGUAAAGGCUCACCAAGGCGAUGAUACAUAGCCGACCUGAGAGGGUGAUCGGCCACAUUGGAACUGAGACACGGCCCAAACUCCUACGGGAGGCAGCAGUAGGGAAUCUUCGGCAAUGGACGAAAGUCUGACCGAGCAACGCCGCAUGAGUGAAGAAGGUUUUCGGAUCGUAAAACUCUGUUGGUAGAGAAGAACGUUGGUGAGAGUGGAAAGCUCAUCAAGUGACGGUAACUACCCAGAAAGGGACGGCUAACUACGU
RNAcentral lists this ribosomal RNA (496 nucleotides) under uncultured bacterium. RNAcentral describes it as "partial 16S ribosomal RNA". It matches the Rfam family "Bacterial small subunit ribosomal RNA", at positions 28 to 506 of the family's 1533-position model. The record is from RNAcentral.